AGUGAACGCUGGCGGUAGGCCUAACACAUGCAAGUCGAACGGCAGCACAGUAAGAGCUUGCUCUUACUGGUGGCGAGUGGCGGACAGGUGAUGAAUACAUCGGAAUCUACUUUUUCUUGGGGGAUAACGUAGGGAAACUUACGCUAAUACCUCAUACGACCUACGGGUGAAAGCAGGGGAUCUUCGGACCUUGCGCGAUUGAAUGAGCCGAUGUCGGAUUAGCUAGUUGGCGGGGUAAAGGCCCACCAAGGCGACGAUCCGUAGAUGGUCUGAGAGGAUGAUCAGCCACACGGGAACGGAGACACGGACCAGACGCCUACGGGAGGCAGCAGUGGGGAAUAGUGGACAAUGGGCGAAAGCAUGAUACAGCAAUACCGCGUGGGUGAAGAAGGCCUUCGGGUUGUAAAGCCCUUUUGUUGGGAAAGAAAAGAAGCAGGUUAAUACCACGAUGUUAUGACGGUACCCAAAGAAUAAGCACCGGCUAACUUCGUG
This 492-nucleotide ribosomal RNA is filed under the name uncultured bacterium. Its description in RNAcentral is "partial 16S ribosomal RNA". It matches the Rfam family "Bacterial small subunit ribosomal RNA", at positions 29 to 507 of the family's 1533-position model. The record is from RNAcentral.